ACUCAUUCUUCCAUUCAAAGCAAAGAAAUUGGAGCAGGGAAAUAAAGUAUAUAGAUUGCCAUCAGCAUUGAAGCACCGUGAACUACUUGAAUUGUAAAUGCCCCUAGCGCAUUUGGAGUGCAACGUGUGGACGUAAGUUGCUCCUAAUAAAUCAGCCCCAAAAAAUAAAGCAUAAAGGUCGUGACACAUGCUACCCUCCG
Molecule: long non-coding RNA, 200 nt
Filed under: Vigna radiata
Lineage: Eukaryota; Viridiplantae; Streptophyta; Magnoliopsida; Fabales; Fabaceae
Description: long non-coding RNA (VRAD_LNC014124)
Source: RNAcentral